AUUGAACGCUGGCGGCAGGCCUAACACAUGCAAGUCGAACGGUAACAGAAAGUAGCUUGCUACUUUGCUGACGAGUGGCGGACGGGUGAGUAAUGUCUGGGGAUCUGCCUGAUGGAGGGGGAUAACUACUGGAAACGGUAGCUAAUACCGCAUAAUGUCGCAAGACCAAAGCGGGGGACUUUCGGGCCUCGCACCAUCAGAUGAACCCAGAUGGGAUUAGCUAGUAGGUAAGGUAAUGGCUUACCUAGGCGACGAUCCCUAGCUGGUCUGAGAGGAUGACCAGCCACACUGGAACUGAGACACGGUCCAGACUCCUACGGGAGGCAGCAGUGGGGAAUAUUGCACAAUGGGCGCAAGCCUGAUGCAGCCAUGCCGCGUGUAUGAAGAAGGCCCUCGGGUUGUAAAGUACUUUCAGUCAGGAGGAAGGGUGUGAAAUUAAUACUUUCAUGCAUUGACGUUACUGACAGAAGAAGCACCGGCUAACUCCGUGCCAGCCGCCGCCGUAA
Molecule: ribosomal RNA, 506 nt
Filed under: uncultured bacterium
Lineage: Bacteria
Description: partial 16S ribosomal RNA
Rfam family: Bacterial small subunit ribosomal RNA
Source: RNAcentral